Molecule: ribosomal RNA, 374 nt
Filed under: uncultured bacterium
Lineage: Bacteria
Description: bacterial SSU rRNA
Rfam family: Bacterial small subunit ribosomal RNA
Source: RNAcentral
UACGUAGGCAGCAAACGUUGUUCGGAAUUACUGGGCGUAAAGAGUGUGUAGGCGGUUCUGUAAGUUUGGUGUGAAAUCUCCUGGCUUAACUGGGAGGGUGCGCCGAAAACUGCAAGGCUUGAGUACUGGAGAGGAUAGCGGAAUUCCUGGUGUAGCGGUGAAAUGCGUAGAUAUCAGGAGGAACACCGGCGGUGUAGACGGCUGUCUGGACAGUAACUGACGCUGAGACACGAAAGCGUGGGGAGCAAACAGGAUUAGAUACCCUGGUAGUCCACGCCCUAAACGAUGCAUACUUGGUGUGGGCCAUUCAUUUGGUCCGUGCCGGAGCUAACGCGUUAAGUAUGCCGCCUGGGGAGUACGGUCGCAAGGCUGAA